Electrophorus electricus (electric eel) is the source of this 166-nucleotide long non-coding RNA. RefSeq lists it as uncharacterized. Lineage: Eukaryota; Metazoa; Chordata; Actinopteri; Gymnotiformes; Gymnotidae. The record is from RefSeq and is a predicted model, not a curated record.
AAGCCACUGGGAUACAACAACAACACCUCAUCUAUGUUACUGUACUUGUCAUGUAUAAUGAGAGGGAUAGAGUUGGAUCCAGCCAAGACCGCAAAGGCCAUGGUUGAGGGCAAAUAUCAACAAGAGAAAGAGAAGACCAAAGUUGAGGUCCAGAAAGUUCCUGCAG